GUGAAUCAUCGAAUCUUUGAACGCAAAUUGCACUCUCUGGUAUUCCGGAGAGUAUGCCGGUUUGAGGGUCAGUAUAAAUAAAAAUCGGGGUGUUGCUUAUGGUGCCGCCAUCGGAAUUGGGAUAUCUUUAAUCUUAAUAAAGGUUUAAAGUGACCUAAAAUUUAUUAUACCUUGUGAAUCUCAAGACGUACAGAAGAAUUCUUUUUUUAUCCGUCAGGAUUUUGCCAGUGCU
RNAcentral lists this unclassified non-coding RNA (232 nucleotides) under Glomeraceae sp. Its description in RNAcentral is "partial contains 5.8S ribosomal RNA and internal transcribed spacer 2". The stretch from base 1 to 71 matches the Rfam family "5.8S ribosomal RNA", at positions 84 to 154 of the family's 154-position model. Lineage: Eukaryota; Fungi; Glomeromycota; Glomeromycetes; Glomerales; Glomeraceae. The record is from RNAcentral.